This is a non-coding RNA of Nicotiana tabacum (common tobacco), 1786 nucleotides long. Lineage: Eukaryota; Viridiplantae; Streptophyta; Magnoliopsida; Solanales; Solanaceae. The record is from RefSeq and is a predicted model, not a curated record.
CCCAAAAACUAACGCCUGAAAUGAGCUGAAAUACGCAAAAAUAAGAGAUAUAGACCGACGCCUAAAGCUAGGACAGCUGAAGAAGGCAGCGCCGUUUUCAAGGAACCCCCUCCCAGCGUUUCUAUAUCCUUCAACAGAAGCCCUCCGUCGUUCUUCAACCAAACACAAACGCCCCCUGAUCGUCUUCUUAAUCGGAAAAAAGCUCCGAGAGAUAUACACCUAAGGAAGCAGCCGUUACACCCAAACAACCACAUCAGUUCUGCUUCUUCUUCAACCAUAUACGCAGAUACAGUAGAGGGGAAAUGGAGGAGGGAACGGAGAAGGGAAACGAAGGAAACCGGACAUAGGGUGACGGAAAGUGAACGAAAUCGAGGGGAAGGGUUUGGUUUCGAUUCUGACUUGUCCUUUCCGAUUUAGUAUCCUAAUUUAGAUAUAAAAAUCAGUUCUAUUAGAUUUCUCAAUCAAUAAUCCAAAAAUACUUUGGUCUUUUUCUGUGGAUUUCGAUUUCAAUGAUGGAGUCAGUUUGAAUUAUUUGAUUCGGAUUUCCAUUUGAAGUUCAAGUCUGCCGAUGAUAACGUUUCUGUUCUUCAUUUGAUUCUGAUUUUCGGUUCUUCGAGUAUGGGAAUGGAGUUAAAUCGAGGUUGAUUCGAGUUCGUCGACGGUGAAGUUCUCUGUGCCCGGUCCGGCUUGUUCGAGCUCUCUCGUCGAGCUUGUAUCUUUGUAUUCAUCUCCAUGUAUAUAAAAGGAAAAAAUGGUAUUGGGCUUCAUAGAAAGAACGGACCAGAAGAACCUCAGCACAUCAUUCACAUGAUCAUUGGAGAAACUGACGUCCCAUAGAGACCCAUGUUCAAAUGGGCCAAAGUGUCCAUCGAAACGGAAAGGCAAACUCGAAGAUAUAUAACCGAAGACGCCCUUAUAUUUAGAGAAGAAGACAUCGAGGCCUUGUCCCAACCACAUGAUGAUGCACUGGUAAUUUCUUUUCUUUUGAAUAACGUUCAAGUUAAAUGUAUGCUCGUGGAUCCAGGUAGCUCGGCCAACGUAAUUAGGUUGAAGGUGGUGGAUCAGCUCGGACUGUUCGACCAGAUCAUACCCACCUCUCGAAUCCUCAAUGGAUUCAACAUGGCAAGCGAGACAAUGAAGGGAGAAAUCAUCCUCGUAGUCACCGUGUCCGGUACAGUUCAAGACACCAAGUUUCAUGACAUCGAAGGUAACAUGAGGUACAAUGCCUUACUUGGAAGACCGUGGAUACACAACAUGAGGGCGGUACUAUCAACUCUUCACCAGAUGAUGAAGUUCCCAACAAAAGAUGGUAUAAAACGGUGUACGGAGAACAACGUACAACAAAGGAGAGGUUCGUGGUAAAUGACGUGGCACCAACAUCGACUCUCCCCGUCUAGGAUGAGUUAGGAAAUAGGCUGACCCCCGAGGAAUAGGUGGUCUGUGAGCAUUCGAAUGAAGAUGAUGAAGAAGACUUCCUCACUCCUCGGACCUUCAUUGCCCUCUAGGAGUCGGAUGCAACAAAAUCAACGGUCAAAUAACUCGAACAUGUCGUCUUGAUCAAGCAUCUUCCAGAACGAAAGGUAUACCUGUGAACAGGAUUAACCCCCGAACUCAGAAAAAAACUCAUCCAAUUUCUUAUUAACAACGUUGAUUGCUUUGCUUGGUCCCAUUUAGACAUGACAGGGAUCCCGCCGGAAAUAACCACCCAUCAACUAAGUGUCGAUCCUAGGUUCAAACUAGUAAAGCAAAAAAGGAGGCCUCAAUCCGAGGUAAAACAUGUGUUCAU